ACGAACGCUGGCUGCGUGCUUAACACCUGCAAGUCGAACGAUGACGACCGAGCUUGCUCGGUCUGAUUAGUGGCGAACGGGUGAGUAACACGUGAGCAACCUGCCCUUCACUCUGGGAUAACCUCGGGAAAUCGGGGCUAAUACCGGAUAUGAGCUCCUGUCGCAUGGCGGGUGUUGGAAAGUUUUUCGGUGAAGGAUGGGCUCGCGGCCUAUCAGUUUGUUGGUGAGGUAGUGGCUCACCAAGGCGAUGACGGGUAGCCGGCCUGAGAGGGCGACCGGCCACACUGGGACUGAGACACGGCCCAGACUCCUACGGGAGGCAGCAGUGGGGAAUAUUGCACAAUGGGCGAAAGCCUGAUGCAGCGACGCCGCGUGAGGGAUGACGGCCUUCGGGUUGUAAACCUCUUUCAGCAGGGAAGAAGCGAAAGUGACGGUACCUGCAGAAGAAGCGCCGGCUAACUACGUG
This 466-nucleotide ribosomal RNA is filed under the name uncultured bacterium. Its description in RNAcentral is "partial 16S ribosomal RNA". It matches the Rfam family "Bacterial small subunit ribosomal RNA", at positions 29 to 507 of the family's 1533-position model. The record is from RNAcentral.